CUCUCGUCAUCCAGUGCUGAAACUUUAGCGCAACAGCUAUCUGCCCAUAUCAAGAAAUGCACAGGAAAAGAGAUCUGUUGCGUUGAUAUAGCACGACACUUCCUGGCGUGGUUAUUUUCACAUCCGGAACUACCGGCUCUCCGAAGGGAGCAGUGAUGAUGAGAGCAUAUCUCCACGAGACCUCAGGAGCAGUCGUUGGCCAUUUUGGCGUCACCGAAAAUGACGUGAUUGUUCACGUUCUCCCUGUUCACCAUGCAAC
This 259-nucleotide small RNA is filed under the name Histoplasma ohiense. RNAcentral describes it as "hypothetical lncRNA". The record is from RNAcentral. Lineage: Eukaryota; Fungi; Ascomycota; Eurotiomycetes; Onygenales; Ajellomycetaceae.